UCCUUCUUAGCUCAGUUGGUUAGAGCAUCUGACUGUUAAUCAGAGGGUCGCUGGUUCAAGUCCAGCAGAGGGAG
Molecule: transfer RNA, 74 nt
Filed under: Bacteroidota bacterium
Lineage: Bacteria; Pseudomonadati; Bacteroidota
Also listed under: 6 other names
Description: tRNA-Asn
Rfam family: tRNA
About the family: Transfer RNA (tRNA) molecules are approximately 80 nucleotides in length. Their secondary structure includes four short double-helical elements and three loops (D, anti-codon, and T loops).
Source: RNAcentral